UUGACUAAGGCCGGCGAUCGUGUGUAUAAAAGAAAUAAGAAACAGCCAGUCACCAACAACCUGCCCUCGCCAUCAUCACAGAAUUAAUUUACAAAUAAUUAGUUUAUUUUUUGUUAUGAUCACAAAAGUAAUAAAAUUAUUUAAAAGGG
This is a long non-coding RNA of Folsomia candida, 149 nucleotides long. RefSeq lists it as uncharacterized. The record is from RefSeq and is a predicted model, not a curated record. The transcript is spliced from 2 exons. Lineage: Eukaryota; Metazoa; Arthropoda; Collembola; Entomobryomorpha; Isotomidae.